RNAcentral lists this ribosomal RNA (401 nucleotides) under uncultured Flavobacterium sp. RNAcentral describes it as "bacterial SSU rRNA". It matches the Rfam family "Bacterial small subunit ribosomal RNA", at positions 1 to 404 of the family's 1533-position model. Lineage: Bacteria; Pseudomonadati; Bacteroidota; Flavobacteriia; Flavobacteriales; Flavobacteriaceae. The record is from RNAcentral.
UCGAGAGUUUGAUCCUGGCUCAGGAUGAACGCUAGCGGCAGGCUUAACACAUGCAAGUCGAGGGGUAUAGUUCUUCGGAGCUAGAGACCGGCGCACGGGUGCGUAACGCGUAUGCAAUCUACCUUUUACAGAGGGAUAGCCCAGAGAAAUUUGGAUUAAUACCUCAUAGUAUGUGAGAAUCGCAUGGUUUUUCACAUUAAAGUUCCAACGGUAAAAGAUGAGCAUGCGUCCCAUUAGCUAGAUGGUAAGGUAACGGCUUACCAUGGCAACGAUGGGUAGGGGUCCUGAGAGGGAGAUCCCCCGACACUGGUACUGAGACACGGACCAGACUCCUACGGGGAGGCAGCAGUGAGGAAUAUUGGACAAUGGGGCGCAAGCCUGAUCCCAGCCAUGCCGCGUGC